This 6446-nucleotide long non-coding RNA is filed under the name Sus scrofa (pig). RNAcentral describes it as "lncRNA (ENSSSCG00015077120.1)". The record is from RNAcentral. Lineage: Eukaryota; Metazoa; Chordata; Mammalia; Artiodactyla; Suidae.
UUUUUUUUUUUUCCAUUUUGGCCUCCCUGCAGCAUAUGGAGUUCCUAGGCCAGGGAUGAGAUCUGACCUGCAGUUGUGACCUAAGCCACAGCUACAGCAACACCAGAUCCUUAACCCAGUGUGCCGGGCGGAGGAUGGCACCUGCUGUGUCCCAGUGCUUCCAAGAGGCCCCUGAUUCCAUUGCGUCACAGUGGGAACUCCCUUCUUCUGAAUCUUAAUUUCUACUUUUUGCACUGUAUGGUGGUAUGUGAACCUCAGACAUGCCUGUGUUUCCAUUUCUUCUAAAAAUAUUGCAUUAUGAUAAUAUUAAUGUACUAUUUUAGUAUUAAUUUUAUAAUUAACAAAAUUAUAAUUUCUAGUAUUUACAUUACUAAUUCAAUAGUUGACAUACUGGAGAAUAGUUUAUAUAUAAAGAUAUAAUACAUAUUUAUAAUUUUAAGAAUAAUAAGACUAAAACUCAGUAUCCAUUUUGCAGGUUAACAAGAGAAUAAUGCCAGAGGCUGUGAAGUUCCUGAAAGAGUCUAGUAUGUUGCUUCACCCUCCUGACUGUAAGAAACUCUAUCCUUGGAGUUACCGUCAUUGCUCAGUGGAAACAAGCCUGACUAGUAUCCACGAGGAUUCAGGUUUGAUCCCUGGUCUUGCUCAGUGGGUUAAGGAUCCUGAACUGCUGUGGCUGUGGUAUAGGUCGGCAGCUGCAGCUCUGAUUCAACCCCUAGUCCAGGAACUUCCAAAGCCACAGAUGCAGCCCUAAAAAAAAAGAAAGAAAGAAAAAAGAAAUUCUAUCCUAAAUUUUAUGUUAAUCCUUCUCUUGCUUUUCUUUAUAAUUUUGCUAUGGUAAAUCCCAACAAUAUAAUGCUUAGUUUUGCCUGGUUUUGAACUUUAGAUCAAAGAAAUUAUAUUGUGUAUAUUCUUUUGUAAUGUGUUCUUUCACUCAACUUUGAGAACCACAAUGCAAAAUCAAACCCUCAUUUCUUAAAUUUCAUGGCUCUAUGGUACUCCAUGGUUUGAAUGCAUCCUACCUGGUUUCUUAACUCUAUUGUAAAUUUGGUUAUCUCUAGCAUUUUGCUAUGAUGAACUAAAAGCAUUCUUACAGAUGAGCCCUACUGUGCAAAAAUUUGCCUAAGGCAAAGUUUCUCAAAAAAAGAAAAAGUAAUAAAAUUUUUUUGACUUGAGUAUCUGCUAAAAACUUUUGACAAGCGAAAUAUUAUGUCAAAUAUUUUUAAGGAAGUAUCUGCAGUUUUUCAACAGAGGCUUAAAUAUUUGCAAAGGCUAUCUUAUCUGUCAUGCUGCAAAUAUGGUACAAACUCUGUGAUAAAUGCACAUUCAAAUAUAAAGCAAGGAGUGGUUGGCACAUUCUCCCACCAUUUCCUAUCCUCAGAAGAGGUGUUACCUCCCAUAGGAAUAGGGCAGAGAGAGGAGCCAAGGAAGGAAGGAAGCUGGGGAAGGAAAGAGCAGGCACAUAGGAUGGGCCGUGGACGUCUGAGUCUGUAGUUAUCACCCAGCCUGGGCUCCCUCAUUCCAACACAACAGGCUUCAACUAACAGAUUCUCAGAAUUGCUGUCACUUUUCUGGACAUUUUAGAAAUUUUCAAGACAGAAAUACCCCAUUGAUACGAAAGUUGGAAAUGGAAGGAACAGCUCAGCAAAGUCAUUCAAUUCUUUGAAUGCUUCCUAACUUGUGUGCAAAAAGGCACUUAGUAAUCGAACAUCUUCAAGAAUUAUUUUUAAUGACCCCUCAACUGACCACUUGACUAGACCCUUUUGCGAUUUGGUUGAAAGUAAAGAAUUGUAAACUGUUCGAUUUAUAAAAACUUUUCAGGCAUGUGAGUUAUCCAUUUUUUUCAGUUUCUGGGAAAGAGAAUAAAGAGGCUUUACCAAUUGUAUUCCAGAAAGAUUUAUCAAAUUCAUCAUACUUGAAAUUUUUUCCCUUAGAGUCCCCUCGCUUAACCUAAUGGAGGUUAUAUAACCUGGAAAGGACUAGGAAAAGGAAAUACUACUGUUGAUACAAUAUAUUUAACAUCAUAUUUUUAAUAAAAUUAUUUUCAUUCCAACUUGUGCUUUUAAAACAUUUUCAUCUAAAAGUCAGAAAUAAGAACAGAACCUAUUUAAUUUGUGGAUAAAAUCCAGUAUAUAACUGAACCAGCAAAACUAAUCUUUAAUUUUAGCCCAUCAUCUAACCCAGACUUAGUGUCAGAAAAAAAAAAAAAAAUCUGACAUCAUAGCUUAAAUUUUUAAAAUCUGGUACUAUGAAGCCCUAACAGACUUUUAACUUUUGCAUUAUAAUUCUACCACAGAUAAUACACAGUAGGGAGUUCCCGUUGUGGCUCAGCAGGGUAGGAUCCCAACUUCAUGUCCCCAAAAAUGCAGGUUUGAUCCCUGGCCUCAAUCAGUGGGUUAAGGAUCUUGUGUUGCUGUGGCUGCGGUGUAGGCCUGCAGCUGCAGCUCUGAUUUGACCCCUAGCCUGGAAACUUCUAUAUGCCAUGGGUGCAGCCAUAAAAAAAAAAGAAAGAAAGAAAAAAGGAAAAAAAAAGAUAAUACAUAGGUAGAUAAGUGGAUGAAUGGAUGAACAUGUGAUAGAGAUAGUCUUUCUCGAAGUUUGUUACCUGGAGAGUUCCCACGGUGGCUCAGCAGUAAUGAACCCGACGAGUAUCUAUGAGGACGCAGGUUCUAUCCCUGGCCUUGCUCAGUGGGUCAAGGAUCCGAAGUUGCCAUGAGCUGCGCUGUAGAUCACAGGCAUGGCUCGGAUCUAGCAUUGCUGUGGCUGUGGUGUAUGCUGGCAGCUGCAGCUCCGAUUCAACACCUAGCCUGGGAACUUCCAUAUGCUGGAGCUCUAAAAAGCAAAAAAGAAAAAGAGAAAAAAAAAAGUUGUUAACUGGAUGAAAUAAGGCACUCCACCUUUAAAAUUCACAAGAGUAAUGCAUUUUAGAUAGUAGUCGGAAAUUUCAAGAGGUCAGGAAAAUUGUCAUCACUCCCACUGGAUUCAAAAUAUCCUGAUGUGAACCAAAAUAUUCCAUUUCUAACACAAUACUCUGCUCUCAACAGAAAAAUUUAUAAGACCACAAAAAUCACAAAGCCCUACCACAGGUUAAUGUUAUCUUGAUUGAAGGAGGCUUCAGAAGGGCAACAAGAUCGUGCAUUGCCUUUUUGGUUCUCUCCAAGGAUCUGCACAUCCCAGAGUGAUGCAUCAGAGGAACUGAAGGUCAGUAAGAGAUUUUCUUUUUUAACAAUAGACUAAGGAUGAUUGUGCAAAGGGAGUUAGAAAAGGAGAGCCAACAAGAUGUUUUUAUCCAACAGGUGUUCCCAGACAGAACAAUUUUAGAAAAGAAUACCUACAGAGAUUGCAGGUCUAAAAAUUAAUUCACUUAAAACCCCCUAUGCUUGCAGACCCCCUGAAAAAUCGCUACGAAGCCCCAGGAAACACUUGCUCUAAAGUGUGAAGACCAGUGCCAAAGAGUAAAGACUCAGGCGUAGAACUGGGGUCACAGGACGUGUGUAUCUUCAACUUUAUUAGACAAUCGCAAAUUGUUUUCCAAAGUGAUCAGCCCAACGUGCAGUCCCACCUGCCGCCUGCAAGGGUUCCCAUCUCGCCACAUUCUUGCUGGCAAUUGGUAUUGCCAAGGUUUUUUUCUUGCCCAUCGAAUAGUUGUAAAAUUUUAUUUCCUCUUUUAAUUGGCAUUUCUUUCAGGACUGAGAUGAUCUUUUCUUGUGUUUAUUGACCAUUUAUGUUUCCCCUUUUGUGAAAUUCCUAUCUGUGUCUCUAGUCCAUUUAUCCACUGAAUUCAUUUGGCUUUUUUCUUAUUGAUUCUCAAGAAAUUUUCUUUGAACAUACUGUAUAUUAUAGUACUCCGUCAAUUAUAUACAUUCAAAAUAGGUUCAUUGGUUUAGGGAUUACCUUUUUACUCUGUUUAUAAUGUAGUUUGAUGAAAAAAAGUCAAUUUGGGGGAGGAGGAGAUUUUUAGGGCCACACCUACGGCAUAUGGAAGUUGCCAGGCUAGGGGUCGAAUCAGAGUUAUAGGUGCCAGGCUAUGCCAGAGCCAGAGCAACGCUAGAUCCUAGCCAUGUCUGCGACCUACACCACAGCUCAGGGCAACACCAGGUCCCCAGCUAACUGAGAGAGGCCAAGGAUUGAACCGGCAUCCUCAUGGGUCCUAGUCGGAUUCCUUUCCACUGUGCCACUACAGGAAUUCCAAAAGUCAGUUUUAAUGUAGUUGAAUUUAUCAGUAUUUCCCUUUAUGGCUUGUGCUUUUUGUGUAUCUUAGGAAACUCCUGCUCUCUCAAGAUCAUAAAGACACUCUCCUAGAUGUUCUUCUAAAAUUUAAAAAUUUUGCCAUUAAGUACUCAAUCCAUCUGGAAUUGCUUUAUGCAUCUGAGACCUAGUGGUGAUCCAUUUUCCUUUUUUACCAUCAAGAUAAAAAUUGCCUUUGCACCAUUUACAGAAUUUCCUAUCCUUUCCCCCACUGACCUGCAGAGCCAGCUCGGUCAUCUACCAGCUUUCCAUGUAUGUGUGGAUCCAGUGCUGGACUCCCCGUUUGUCCCAUUGACCUGCCUAACGAUCCCCAUGUCAACGUCACAAUACCUGAAUUACUACCGCUUUAUUGCAAGGUCGCCCUACCCACAAGGGCAAGUCCCCACCCAGAGGACACCUCUUCAUCAAGAAGUGUCUUCAUUGACUUUGGCACUUUGCCCUUCGUGGCAGCCAUGAAGGCACUCACGCUCCUUCAGUCUCAGGGAUAACCUGCCAGGGGAAGGGCAGUCAGCCUCCACCCUCCAGCGGGAGGUGCCUUCAGAAACGACAUCAUCUUCAAGCCUGAGGCCAUUCACUGCAGAGACUGCCCAGCGGAUGACUGAGUGCAGGGGUGGGUGAGCAAGCUCUCACUGAGUGCAUCCGGCCAGAGUGGGACUUCUCUAUGGACAGUCAUUCACUCCAGCUGCCCUUUGGACUAGUGGAGACGUCUCACGCUGAACCCAAUAAUGAGGCUCUCCAUCCCUGAUUCUCCUUUGCUCCUCCUAUCUUUUCACAGGUCUAGAUCAACAUAGCCAUCUGAAGGCUUUACCUGCCCCCUCCUACUCCCUCUUCCCUCUCUAUCUUAUGGGCAUUCCACUCCCUAAACCUCUAACUCCAUCUUCUUUUUUUUUUUUAAGGCUGCACCUGCAACAUAUGGAAGUUCCCAGACUAGGGGUCUAAUCAGAGCUGUAGCUGCUGACCAUAGCCACAGCCACAGCAACGCCAGAUCCAAGCCACCUCCGUGACCUACACCACAGCUUACGGCAAUGCCCGAUCCUUAACACACUGAGCGAGGCCAGGGAUGGAGACAGGCACUCCUCUAACUCCAUCUCGGAGGCUGCUUCCCAGAAAACCCAACCGUUGUAUGCUCACGAAAACCUGAGAAUGUUCCUACCGAUCAUGCUCCACAAGACAAUUUGUUGAGGUACAAUCUGGGAUUGAACUGAAUCUAUUAGUCCGUGAAUCUAUGAAUCUAUUAACCAGUUUGGGGAGAAUUAACAUCUUUACAAAAUGUAAACUUUCUAUACAUAAACAUGUUAUAUCUGUUUAUUUCGGUCUUCUAAUAUCUUUUAAUAAUGUUGUAAACUUGUUACCAAAAAUAAUAGUAACAGUAAUGUGUAGGUCAUUGCGAAAAAUUUACAACUUGGACGUUUCAUUUUUGGUUGGGAUGAUAUCUGGAUGCCUAAAAUUUCAUUUUCUGACCUUUUGAACUUUUUUUUUUUUCCUGGUCUAAAGAAAUGCCAUAACGGAGUUAUGGCUCAGUGGUUAAUGAACCCGACUAUUAUCCGUGAGGAUGCGGUUUGACCCCGGGCCUUGCUCAGUGAGUUAAGGAUCCAGCAUUGCCAUGAACUGUGGUGUAGGUCACAGAUGCGGCUCAGAUCCUGCAUUGCUGUGGCUGUGGCAUAGGCAGGCAGUCGUAUCUCCAAUUCAACUCCUAGCCUGGGAACCUCCAUAUGCUGUAUUUGCUGAUUUGAAGAAAGCAAAAAAGGAAAAAGAAAAAAGGCCAUAACUUUUUGUAUCUUAGAUCCACAAGCCUUGAUAAACAUUCUUACUAAUUCUUUUGAUUUCUUGGUAUAUUCACUUAGGUUUUCUUUGUACAGUAUUUUCUGCUAAUUAUGGCAGCUUCCUUUCUUCCUUUCCAAAUCUUGAAACUCAUUUAUCAUUCUUAUCUGAGUAUAGGAGCUAUGGCUUCUAGAAAAGAUUGAAGAGAAAAAGUUAAAGGGUCAUCCUUGUCUUGCUCUUGAACUUAAAAGAGAACACUUUAAAUUUUCUACCUUUGAGGAGGGUGCUGGCUGUAGGUGUUUUUUUUGUUUGUUUGUUUUUUUGCUGAUUCUUUAAUUAAUUUUAGGAAAAUUUCCUCCUAUUGCUAAUUUCCUAGGAGGUUUUUUUUUUUUUUUUUUUUUUAAAUAAUGAGCAAUGCAUUGCACCCAAUUGGACACUGC